GUCAUUAGAUGUAACUGAUGAUCCUCAUGACAUCAGACAAUAGCCAUCAGAAGAGUCAUGGCAAUGACCCAUAAGCCUUAAAGAGAAAACUGCUAAAAGUAGGCAUCUCUUAAAACUGUCAUUCUCAAAAGAUAGGGAUUUCCAUGAUCCUUAAGAACUGAAAUUAUUUCUGUAAUAUUAUCAAGUUGUGAUUUGCCUUUGCCAUGGAGUUACCAUUUGCACAGAUGGGUGCGGAAGUCAUGAUGGGUGAAGCAGCUGGCUCCAUAACAUGAAUGAAGGCAGGGGCGCCCAACUCUGCUAUCAGUCAUCACACUCUUUAACACAGUAUUACUUAUACACUUAAACAACAAUGUUCCUGAGGAAGCCAGGAAAAGUGUUUUAUUAUAUAGCUACCAUUGAGUACCCUUCAUUUUAAUACCCUGCAUAACAAAAUGGGAAACUCACAUUAGCUGUGAUGCGUUGGCUGUGUUGAAAAUCAUUUGUACAAUUGUUACUCAUUGUAGUUGCAAAUCUAACUAGCCACUGUUUUCAUGAAACACCACUUUAACUUGAAAGAAAUACUAACAAACUAUGGUUUCUCAGGCAUGAGUAUUUGGCAGACAUUUUUUCAUGAUGAACACAAUGAGCCUGUCACUUUAAGGAAAACAACUGAUAAUAUGGGUUAUCAAUGAUCAAAUUUGAAUUUUAAAUUAGAAUUUUGAGAACUUCUGCGUGCCUCCUUUAUCCUGACAGAUUCUCAAUAAUUAGGGACUUUUCUGACGAGUUCAGUGGUAAUAUCAAUGAAUUCUUUUCAUAUUGUAAAAUAAAAUGUACCAAUAUUUAGAAGAUGGGUAUAACUCAAAGAAUCAAUAUUUUCCAAAUAACCAGUGCAGGAUGUUAUAAAAUCAUACAUGGAUAAAAGAUCCAUCCAAAGUAUUAGAUCCAUCAAUGAAUUUUAAGGUACUGGGGAAACAAAGCAAAACAGACAAAUUGCGGUGCUCAGGUUCUGCCAAGGGCAGCAGACAGUGAACCACAUGAAGAAGCCUCCAACUAAUGGACUACCAUAGAUCCAAUGCCUCAGAUGCAGAUAACACUCUGGGAAGGCAGACACCACCUCUCUCCUG
This is a long non-coding RNA of Homo sapiens (human), 1103 nucleotides long. RefSeq lists it as uncharacterized. The transcript has 3 exons. The record is from RefSeq and is a predicted model, not a curated record. NCBI's taxonomy places the organism in Eukaryota, Metazoa, Chordata, Mammalia, Primates, Hominidae.